Eucalyptus grandis is the source of this 832-nucleotide long non-coding RNA. RefSeq lists it as uncharacterized. The transcript is spliced from 5 exons. NCBI's taxonomy places the organism in Eukaryota, Viridiplantae, Streptophyta, Magnoliopsida, Myrtales, Myrtaceae. The record is from RefSeq and is a predicted model, not a curated record.
AUACCAUUGUGAUCUAUAUUGGCAAAAUCUCUUGGAAGGAUCACUUGCAAAUACCAUUGUGAUCCUAUGGAGGGAGUUUCGGAACAAAAGCUUCGAGCUCACUUGGGUUCCUUUGGUGUAACUGGAAAUCUUGCACUUCAACCAAUGUAUGCCUUGUCCGAUACAUCUCCUCCAUCUCUGCUAUUGUUGCAAAUGUAAAUGUUUUGUUGAAGCAAAUUUCAUGACGUUGUGAAGCUCUAUCAAAGGUUAGUUAUAAUGUGAAUUGCAAUUUAUUGUGUAUUUUCUCCGAGGCUUUUUGGUUGUUAUUGCCCAUGUAACAUGGUGCUUUGACCAUAUAAAUAGGUGGUCAGAAAAGCAAAGUUGCAUUUAUCAAGAUAACUUUCAAGAAACCUGACAUGGUUUUGCUUGAUGAGCCUUUCAAUCAUUUGAUUGUUAGUUUCUUGUCUAAGGAUAGAUGAGUAUGAUUCUGCGUUUUUUACUAUUCCCGGCUGUUGGAUUUGGAUGCGGUUGAGGUGCUCAUCCAAGGUCUGGUCUUGUUCCAAGGAGAAAUUCUGAUGGUUAGUCAUGAUGAGCAUCUAAUAACUGGAUGCAUGGACGAGCUCUGGGUAGUUUCUCGAGGCAAGGUGGCGCCUUUCCAUCAUUUUGGAUCGGACAAUUCAUAUUUCUUAAAAAAGAGCAAUGUCGGGCGUGUCCUUUAGAGCCAUCAAGUCCCGAUCGUCCCCUUCCAAAUAGGAGAAAGGCUCUCAAGAACGCGACAACCGCCCCUCCCACGAGCGUCCUCAUGGGCUCUCUGGAGCUCCCGUUCUUGCGCAUGCAGAACGUGGCCGCCCCU